This is a long non-coding RNA of Hemicordylus capensis (graceful crag lizard), 822 nucleotides long. RefSeq lists it as uncharacterized. The transcript has 2 exons. NCBI's taxonomy places the organism in Eukaryota, Metazoa, Chordata, Lepidosauria, Squamata, Cordylidae. The record is from RefSeq and is a predicted model, not a curated record.
ACAACCUCCCCUGGCUGGCCGGCCGACCGCCGGACACCUCGGCACACAGCGAAGACGUCACAGGCCCGCGACGGAAACGUCCACCGCCCUACACCCCCUCGGAAAGAGCGAGUUCCAGUGACCAAUCAGAGUGAAAAGCACCAUAUCUUAAUCUAUUGGGCCUUCAUGGAGAGUUUGGAUACUGAACCCAGCAAAAGAAAAAGUUGUUCAAGGCUUCAACAGUUUCUCACCAAAAAAGCUGGUCCACUAAAAGAUACUGCUUUGUUUACAUAUUAACUCACUGAGAGCUGCACCGAUAUCCCAGAGGGAGGAAGGCAAUUCUUCCAGGCCUCUCGUGUGAGGAUUCUGUCUGCUAUCAAGCCAGUCUGUGAGAAGAACCGUGGGGCAAGAGCAAACCUGUCUUCUUGAUCCAGCUUUAGUUAUUUGCCCCAUUUCUGGACUGGCUUGGGGGAUAACAGCUCGCUCUCUGCCCCAAGAUAACCAGAACUGCUAUUGGAAGAGAGGAAAGACAGGAGCCUCAAGGCUCCUGAGAGGAUCCUAACUGCCAUCAUGCCGCUGCCGCUGCCCCUCCCCCCCAGCAAAAGUAGGCAUCAGGUGUAGGUUGGCAAUCUUGGUUUGUUCUAGGGUGAUAGAGCAGCUACAUGUGGAAGCCUCCUCUGCUGAAACUGAAAACAGUGUUAAUCAUAAAUGUAUUAAAUGGUUGAAAUACAUACAUAAUUUGGGCAUGAUCUAGCUAGAGUUAAGCACUUUUCAGAGCGAGGCUUCAAUGGCAGACAUUUUAGUAUAUGAUUGACUGAUUGAAAUAAACAGGUUUAAAGUGUG